RNAcentral lists this long non-coding RNA (621 nucleotides) under Numida meleagris (helmeted guineafowl). RNAcentral describes it as "lncRNA (ENSNMEG00000005636.1)". The record is from RNAcentral. Lineage: Eukaryota; Metazoa; Chordata; Aves; Galliformes; Numididae.
GAAAAUGUUCGGAUAUUUCAGUUUGGGCCCGACCUGAAGCAGAUCUCUUUUCCAGUUUUUUUUUUUUUUCAGAUCUGCUCCGAGAAAUCGGAGAUCUGCAGAAAAUAGCAGCCCUGGCUCUGCUCACCGCCAGCAGCGUCAUGGCCAACCCAAGGCUCUUGCUGGUGUUGGCACCCACUGCUCUGCAGUGAGGCAGCAAUUCCUCCCGCAUGACACGGCAGGGACCGGUCCAGCACCCGAAAAGUGUCUCUUCUGAAAUGCGACAGUCUCUGGUCAGGUCUCCAAUGCCAUAGGGGAAGGGCAUGUCAUCUUCCUUCCCAUACCAUCUUGUAUCACGCACCCAAGGGCUGGUGUUGGGAAUCCUACCGUUGGCUGUGACUCCAAGCAUGUCUCAGGAUUUGAGGCUCUCUGGAAGAUUUCUUGGGAUGGCACACGUGCGAUGGAGUUGUGCUUGAAGGCAAUGGGGCCCGCAGCGUUAUCCACAGGUCAUAGAUACUGAGUGGACAGGUGCAAACGUUUGAGACAAUUCUAGCACAAAAGUGUGCACGCUUUUUGGGUGAUGAGCGCCGUCAAAACUCUGAACUUUGAUUUCAGCACCGUCCAUCGGAGUGGGGGGGGAAC